Cloeon dipterum is the source of this 2120-nucleotide RNA transcript. It is a transcript of the gene named sosondowah, with no coding region annotated. The transcript has 7 exons. The record is from RefSeq and is a predicted model, not a curated record. Lineage: Eukaryota; Metazoa; Arthropoda; Insecta; Ephemeroptera; Baetidae.
AUCCACAGGUGUUUGUUGUGUAGUUUGCAAUCAUGGCGGCUCCGGAGGAGCUGUCAAUGUUAUCAAUUCGCAAGUUUAUGCUCUCCAGGGGCGGAACGGUGACCAACCAUGAGCUCGUGCGCCACUUCAAAUACUUCCUCACCAACGAGGAGUCGAAAGUUCAUGCCAAAAUGUAUUUCAAGGAGUACGUGAACACGUUAGCACACAUAAGCAAAAACGAACAUGGUGAAAAGUACCUGACCCUGAAGCCGCGCUACCAGGGCCCAAUAGAGUCCGCGGGAUUUGGGUCGCCAGCAGGGGGCCCGGUCCGGAACUUGGGACCCUCGUCACCCAGCCCGUCGUUCAGUGGCUCCCUGCUUUCGGUUUCUGCCCUGUCGCAGGAGAACCUGAUGGAGUCGCCGGGCCGGGUGCCGCCGCCCUACCGGCCGCCGCCACCCCCGGCCUUAUCGCCGCGAAGCAGCCCUAGUUGCCCACCCCCGUACAUCGGGCCACCGCCUGCCUACCGCGUAGUCGAGGGCCAGGAAGCUGAGAACGGGGGCCUGCCGCCUCCGCCGGUACCCCCACGCAGGCGCAGCAGCGAUAAGGGCUUUGGCAGCAAGGAGAAUUUGCUGCAGCCGGUGCCUGAGGUGCCAAUGGAGGUCGUCCUCAGGCCUAAAACUCAAGGACAAGAGACGGCCAGGGAGCAACCCCAAAAAAGGGAGAGUGCGUCGUCCGUGGAAAAAGAGCCUGAAGCCAAAAUCAGCGUCAAAGAGCGCACGCAGAAGUUCAACAGGAUGGCUUCGGAAGGGGACAUGAGACAAGUUUUGCAACAGGUCAACAAGAAGAAGGUUGACAAGGCCGACGAGGAAGAAACUAGGCCUCUGGACCAGAAAGACCGUGAGUGGCUGAUAAAGGCCUCGCAGGUGGACUACCAGGCGCUGGCAAAGUUGGCCGUGGAAAAACCCAAGCUGGUGCAUCUGACCUAAUUCCGUGACCAUGAGAAUUCGACGCAGCGGAAAAAACGCGAUGAAACAAAGGGCCGAAUCGAUUUCCACCUCGAAUCAUCUCUACUCAAUCAGAAGAGCAGCGGCGGUAAAUUAGUGAUUACACAGCUUUCGCUAUUGUGCUCGGCGAUGCGCCGCUUGCUCCAGUGUCAACCGCUAUCGUCGCCGAUCGUCAAAUCGAAAGGGAAUAUCUCGGUGCAAGCACAAUCGGACCGCGACCAGGAAGAUUCGGUCAGGCAAAAAUAAAUUGCUCAUUUGAGCGAGGGCAAAGUCUUUAAAAGAAGCUCGCCAGCUGCUCGGCACAGACACUCCUGAGAAAAUGCUGGUGGCGUGCAGUGUGGUGCUGCUGCAACUGCAGCUGAGCCUGGCUCUCAACAUGCUGGCCUCGGACGAGAUCAACGACGUCUUGCGCGUGCAGGCCAUGAGCCAGGGUGUCUUCGGACGCAGGCUCAGCCUGAUGCGCCACGACGUCCUCGAGACCGCAGAGUCUGCGACACCACCAGAGAUUUUCCAGGUUGUCGCAGGCAUACCUCAGAACGGGCUCGGAAAUCCGGUUGCAUCUGAAAUUCUGAAAAACUACGGGAAGGCGAGCAAGAAGAAGAGUUCGGUGUAUAAGAAGCCGUUGGUGAAAACGCCGAGCGGUUCAUACACGCCCGAGCUUCUCGAAUGUGACAACAGUGACCAGACGUCCGAGUCGAGCCAGGUCUCCAUUACGGAAAUUAUUCCCACGGCGGAGCAGAAUGCUAAACGAAAACGGUCGAGUGAAUCAAGCAAACUCAUUGAUAGGCGCCGCGCAAACAUCAUCAGGAGCUUGAAAAAAGAUUCUGCGUCAACAUCCACUUCAAAACCAUAUGUUUCCACUGUUGACGAAAGUCUUGUGGCUCGAGAUAAUGACAAUGUCGAUUCAAGUUUGUCUAGAUUGGAAGAUGCAGAGGAUGAUAAAAAUGAUAAUAUUGAAGAAGAUGACACUGGUGCUAAUUUCGACAGUGAAGUACCCUCAGAAAUCAUAAAAACAGUGCACUUUCACAGAUCUGUAAUAAGCCAUUCGGUUUUCCCUGGAGAAUAAAAAACAAAAACUUUUUCAUACCAUUUUUUGUAAUUAUAUUUUUGAAAUAAAAUAUGCAUUCGCCAUUUUUU